Molecule: ribosomal RNA, 500 nt
Filed under: uncultured bacterium
Lineage: Bacteria
Description: bacterial SSU rRNA
Rfam family: Bacterial small subunit ribosomal RNA
Source: RNAcentral
GGCUCAGGAUGAACGCUAGCUACAGGCUUAACACAUGCAAGUCGAGGGGAAACGAUAGAGAAAGCUUGCUUUUUCUAGGCGUCGACCGGCGCACGGGUGAGUAACGCGUAUCCAACCCUGCCCAUCACUUGGGGAUAACCUUGCGAAAGUAAGACUAAUACCCAAUGACGUCUCUAGAAGACAUCUGAAAGAGAUUAAAGGUAUUCCGGUAGACGAUGGGGAUGCGUUCCAUUAGAUAGUAGGCGGGGUAACGGCCCACCUAGUCUUCGAUGGAUAGGGGUUCUGAGAGGAAGGUCCCCCACAUUGGAACUGAGACACGGUCCAAACUCCUACGGGAGGCAGCAGUGAGGAAUAUUGGUCAAUGGGCGAGAGCCUGAACCAGCCAAGUAGCGUGAAGGAUGAAGGUCCUACGGAUUGUAAACUUCUUUUAUACGGGAAUAAAGUUUCCUACGUGUAGGAUUUUGUAUGUACCGUAUGAAUAAGCAUCGGCUAACUCCGUG